UCCUCCUUUUUCAGCUUGACUGGAGAGCUUCUUCAUGCUCUCAUACUUUAUUCCUGUGAUCAGACUGCAGGAGGCAAAUGAGAGCCAAGAGGGUUGUGGCACUUGUGGUUUAUUUUAGAGGUGGUUUAUUCUCUGAAAAGAAAAAAAAAAAGAAAGAAAGAAACAGAAGAAAAAAAAAGAAAGAAAGAAAGAAACAUUCUGAAAUUUUCACAUGGAAUAGAGAUCUCGUCUGCGUCCUGCUGAGUUGCUUUAAAGAAAACUUUGGUCUCCAAAGACAUCAGUGAGAAAACUAACAAGAGCAUUUUGGGAGAAUAACUAUUUGAUGCCAGAAGGACACUCGGGAUGAAAUUCAGUUGUCUAAACUGGCAUCUAUGGUUCUUGCUAGACCUCGUGGGACGGUGUCUGAGAGAACUGCACCAGGCUGGCUGACAUUAUGUGGGACCUAGGGGAGCUCUGUGCCCUCAUGGCAAAACAGAUGGAUUACCAUUUUGCAAAACCUCUCUGAACAAGAGAUGUAUUAUUCCCAUUUUGGAUGAGAGAAGUCAACGUGGGAUUGCUUCCCUGAGUUACCUGGAAAGUGUGACGCUGAAAGAGUAUUUCACCUCAAAGCUCCUGCAGCCCUUUCCACAGGAACAUUUCUUCUACCUAAGCAUUAAUUGUUUUCCUAAUCCCACUCUCCCUCCUAAUCCCAUUCUCCCCCAAAGGAGAAUAGCUAAAUGUAAAAGAAAGCAAGGUAAAACAGUUACAGGUGUCUAGAACGGCUCAGUACUUGUGCUGUAUUUGCCUGUAUAGUGCUCCUUCUGUCUUGCCCAUUUAGGCAAACGUUGUCUCUUUGUAUGCUCCCACACUUUGUGUUUAAUGAUACUGCCCUUAUGUCUUCUACCUCUGAUACAAGAUCCUGAAAAAAAAAAAAAAAAGAAAAAAAAGUAUUUUUCAACUUGAAUGGAAUUCUUUUGUCCAGUCUAAAGUUGCGCUUCACUCCUCAGUGUUCCUUGCCUGCCAAAGGAAAAUUAAAAAAAUAAAUAAAAAAGAAAUUUAAAAGUAUGUUUUCAUUUGCAAACAUUUAAGACUAAUGUAAGGCUACUCACUUUGGAAAAAAACAAAACCAUUUGCAGGGUAUGGUGCACGUGUGUUGGGGAGGGGAGAUAGGGAGAUAUUCAUGUUUCAGAAUUUUCUAAAUCUACUUUUUUUUGAAA
RNAcentral lists this long non-coding RNA (1196 nucleotides) under Gallus gallus (chicken). RNAcentral describes it as "lncRNA (ENSGALG00010011547.1)". Lineage: Eukaryota; Metazoa; Chordata; Aves; Galliformes; Phasianidae. The record is from RNAcentral.